UUAAAUUGAAGAGUUUGAUCAUGGCUCAGAUUGAACGCUGGCGGCAGGCCUAACACAUGCAAGUCGAACGGUAACAGGAAGCAGCUUGCUGCUUCGCUGACGAGUGGCGGACGGGUGAGUAA
Molecule: ribosomal RNA, 122 nt
Filed under: Escherichia coli
Lineage: Bacteria; Pseudomonadati; Pseudomonadota; Gammaproteobacteria; Enterobacterales; Enterobacteriaceae
Also listed under: 19 other names
Description: partial 16S ribosomal RNA
Rfam family: Bacterial small subunit ribosomal RNA
Source: RNAcentral